GCGAGUCUGAAUAGGGCGAAUGAGUAUUUGGUCGUAGACCCGAAACCAGGUGAUCUACCCUUGGUCAGGUUGAAGUUCAGGUAACACUGAAUGGAGGACCGAACCGACUUACGUUGAAAAGUGAGCGGAUGAACUGAGGGUAGCGGAGAAAUUCCAAUCGAACUUGGAGAUAGCUGGUUCUCUCCGAAAUAGCUUUAGGGCUAGCCUCAAGUGAUGAUUAUUGGAGGUAGAGCACUGUUUGGACGAGGGGCCCCUCUCGGGUUACCGAAUUCAGACAAACUCCGAAUGCCAAAUAAUUUAACUUGGGAGUCAGAAUGUGGGUGAUAAGGUCCAUAUUCGAAAGGGAAACAGCCCAGACCACCAGCUAAGGUCCCAAAAUAUAUGUUAAGUGGAAAAGGAUGUGGCGUUGCCCAGACAACUAGGAUGUUGGCUUAGAAGCAGCCAUCAUUUAAAGAGUGCGUAAUAGCUCACUAGUCGAGUGACACUGCGCCGAAAAUGUACCGGGGCUAAACAUAUUACCGAAGCUGUGGAUUGUCCUUUGGACAAUGGUAGGAGAGCGUUCUAAGGGCGUUGAAGCAUGAUCGCAAGGACAUGUGGAGCGCUUAGAAGUGAGAAUGCCGGUGUGAGUAGCGAAAGACGGGUGAGAAUCCCGUCCACCGAUUGACUAAGGUUUCCAGAGGAAGGCUCGUCCGCUCUGGGUUAGUCGGGUCCUAAGCUGAGGCCGACAGGCGUAGGCGAUGGAUAACAGGUUGAUAUUCCUGUACCACCAUUAUUCGUUUUAAGCGAUGGGGGGACGCAGUAGGAUAGGCGAAGCGUGCUGUUGGAGUGCACGUCCAAGCAGUGAGAUUGAGUGUUAGGCAAAUCCGGCACUCUUAAGAUUGAGCUGUGAUGGGGAGAGGAACUUGUUCCUCGAGUCGUUGAUUUCACACUGCCGAGAAAAGCCUCUAGCUAGAAUAACGGUGCCCGUACCGCAAACCGACACAGGUAGUCAAGAUGAGAAUUCUAAGGUGAGCGAGCGAACUCUCGUUAAGGAACUCGGCAAAAUGACCCCGUAACUUCGGGAGAAGGGGUGCUCUUUGAGGUUCACGCUUCGAAGAGCCGCAGUGAAUAGGCCCAAGCGACUGUUUAUCAAAAACACAGGUCUCUGCUAAACCGUAAGGUGACGUAUAGGGGCUGACGCCUGCCCGGUGCUGGAAGGUUAAGAGGAGUGGUUAGCGCAAGCGAAGCUACGAAUCGAAGCCCCAGUAAACGGCGGCCGUAACUAUAACGGUCCUAAGGUAGCGAAAUUCCUUGUCGGGUAAGUUCCGACCCGCACGAAAGGCGUAACGAUUUGGGCACUGUCUCAACGAGAGACUCGGUGAAAUCAUAGUACCGGUGAAGAUGCCGGUUACCCGCGACAGGACGGAAAGACCCCGUGGAGCUUUACUGUAGCCUGAUAUUGAAAUUCGGUACAGUUUGUACAGGAUAGGUAGGAGCCUUAGAAGCGUGAGCGCUAGCUUACGUGGAGGCAUUGGUGGGAUACUACCCUAAUUGUAUUGGAUUUCUAACCCGCAGCACUUAUCGUGCUGGGAGACAGUGUCAGGCGGGCAGUUUGACUGGGGCGGUCGCCUCCUAAAGAGUAACGGAGGCGCUCAAAGGUUCCCUCAGAAUGGUUGGAAAUCAUUCAUAGAGUGUAAAGGCAUAAGGGAGCUUGACUGCGAGACCUACAAGUCGAGCAGGGUCGAAAGACGGACUUAGUGAUCCGGUGGUUCCGCAUGGAAGGGCCAUCGCUCAACGGAUAAAAGCUACCCCGGGGAUAACAGGCUUAUCUCCCCCAAGAGUUCACAUCGACGGGGAGGUUUGGCACCUCGAUGUCGGCUCAUCGCAUCCUGGGGCUGUAGUCGGUCCCAAGGGUUGGGCUGUUCGCCCAUUAAAGCGGUACGCGAGCUGGGUUCAGAACGUCGUGAGACAGUUCGGUCCCUAUCCGUCGUGGGCGUAGGAAAUUUGAGAGGAGCUGUCCUUAGUACGAGAGGACCGGGAUGGACAUACCUCUGGUGUACCAGUUGUCGUGCCAACGGCAUAGCUGGGUAGCUAUGUAUGGACGGGAUAAGUGCUGAAAGCAUCUAAGCAUGAAGCCCCCCUCGAGAUGAGAUUUCCCAACUUCGGUUAUAAGAUCCCUCAAAGAUGAUGAGGUGAAUAGGUUCGAGGUGGAAGCGUAGCGAUACGUGGAGCUGACGAAUACUA
This 2223-nucleotide ribosomal RNA is filed under the name Staphylococcus pseudintermedius. RNAcentral's name for it is "partial 23S ribosomal RNA". It matches the Rfam family "Bacterial large subunit ribosomal RNA", at positions 677 to 2903 of the family's 2925-position model. Lineage: Bacteria; Bacillati; Bacillota; Bacilli; Caryophanales; Staphylococcaceae. The record is from RNAcentral.